Molecule: small RNA, 384 nt
Filed under: Pan troglodytes (chimpanzee)
Lineage: Eukaryota; Metazoa; Chordata; Mammalia; Primates; Hominidae
Description: processed transcript
Source: RNAcentral
GCCCCCGCCACUUAAACGUGCUGUGCGACGUGUCUGGGAAAGGCCCCGUCACUGCCUGUGACUUUGACCUCCGCAGCCUGCAGCCUGACAAGCGGCUAGAAAACCUCCUGCAGCAAGUGAGCGCCGAGGACUUUGAGAAGCAGAACGAGGAGGCCCGGAGGACCAACAGGCAGGCCGAGCUCUUUGCCCUUUACCCAUCAGUGGACGAGUUCUGUGAUGGAGAUGCCAACAUGUAAUAGAGGGACCCAAAGUGGAUGCCAGAAGAGAGAGAACAAUUAAAGGAUGCAGAGAAUAUGUCCAGUGAGACAUUUGCUUGUCAGUGUCUCCCUGGUGGUAUUAGAUGGGAGAAUGUUCCAUCUGAACAGAUUAAAAUAAUGAAACAUA